ACUCCUACGGGAGGCAGCAGUAAGGAAUAUUGCGCAAUGGGCGAAAGCCUGACGCAGCGACGCCGCGUGGGGGAUGAAGGUCUUCGGAUUGUAAACCCCUUUCGGGAGGGAAGAUGGAGCGAGCAAUCGUUCGGACGGUACCUCCAGAAGCAGCCACGGCCAACUUCGUGCCAGCAGCCGCGGUAAUACGAAGGUGGCAAGCGUUGUUCGGAUUCACUGGGCGUACAGGGUGUGUAGGCGGUUUGGUAAGCCUUCUGUUAAAGCUUCGGGCCCAACCCGGAANNGCGCAGAGGGUACUGCCAGGCUAGAGGGUGGGAGAGGAGCGCGGAAUUCCCG
This 336-nucleotide ribosomal RNA is filed under the name uncultured Nitrospira sp. Its description in RNAcentral is "bacterial SSU rRNA". It matches the Rfam family "Bacterial small subunit ribosomal RNA", at positions 335 to 672 of the family's 1533-position model. Lineage: Bacteria; Pseudomonadati; Nitrospirota; Nitrospiria; Nitrospirales; Nitrospiraceae. The record is from RNAcentral.